Molecule: ribosomal RNA, 1219 nt
Filed under: bacterium
Lineage: Bacteria
Description: bacterial SSU rRNA
Rfam family: Bacterial small subunit ribosomal RNA
Source: RNAcentral
CAGCUUACCAUGCAGUCGACGAUGACUCUCUAGCUUGCUAGAGAUGAUUAGUGGCGGACGGGUGAGUAACAUUUAGGAAUCUGCCUAGUAGUGGGGGAUAGCUCGGGGAAACUCGAAUUAAUACCGCAUACGACCUACGGGUGAAAGGGGGCGCAAGCUCUUGCUAUUAGAUGAGCCUAAAUCAGAUUAGCUAGUUGGUGGGGUAAAGGCCCACCAAGGCGACGAUCUGUAACUGGUCUGAGAGGAUGAUCAGUCACACCGGAACUGAGACACGGUCCGGACUCCUACGGGAGGCAGCAGUGGGGAAUAUUGGACAAUGGGGGCAACCCUGAUCCAGCCAUGCCGCGUGUGUGAAGAAGGCCUUUUGGUUGUAAAGCACUUUAAGCAGGGAGGAGAGGCUAAUGGUUAAUACCCAUUAGAUUAGACGUUACCUGCAGAAUAAGCACCGGCUAACUCUGUGCCAGCAGCCGCGGUAAUACAGAGGGUGCGAGCGUUAAUCGGAAUUACUGGGCGUAAAGCGAGUGUAGGUGGCUCAUUAAGUCACAUGUGAAAUCCCCGGGCUUAACCUGGGAACUGCAUGUGAUACUGGUGGUGCUAGAAUAUGUGAGAGGGAAGUAGAAUUCCAGGUGUAGCGGUGAAAUGCGUAGAGAUCUGGAGGAAUACCGAUGGCGAAGGCAGCUUCCUGGCAUAAUAUUGACACUGAGAUUCGAAAGCGUGGGUAGCAAACAGGAUUAGAUACCCUGGUAGUCCACGCCGUAAACGAUGUCUACUAGCCGUUGGGGUCCUUGAGACUUUAGUGGCGCAGUUAACGCGAUAAGUAGACCGCCUGGGGAGUACGGCCGCAAGGUUAAAACUCAAAUGAAUUGACGGGGCCCGCACAAGCGGUGGAGCAUGUGGUUUAAUUCGAUGCAACGCGAAGAACCUUACCUGGUCUUGACAUAGUGAGAAUCUUUCAGGAGAUGAGAGAGUGCCUUCGGGAUUCACAUACAGGUGCUGCAUGGCUGUCGUCAGCUCGUGUCGUGAGAUGUUGGGGUAAGUCCCGCAACGAGGCGCAACCUUUUCCUUAUUUGCCAGCGGGUAGGCGGACUUAGGGAUACUGGCCAGUGACAAACUGGAAGAGCGGGACGACGUCAGGUCAUCAUGGGCCUACGAUCAGCUACACGUGCUACAAUGUAGUUACAGAGGUUUCAUACAGCAUAGUCGGAGUGUGAAUAGGCUA